This 370-nucleotide ribosomal RNA is filed under the name uncultured organism. Its description in RNAcentral is "bacterial SSU rRNA". It matches the Rfam family "Bacterial small subunit ribosomal RNA", at positions 526 to 896 of the family's 1533-position model. The record is from RNAcentral.
CGUAGGGUGCGAGCGUUAAUCGGAAUUACUGGGCGUAAAGCGUGCGCAGGCGGUUUUGAAGCCAGAUGUGAAAUCCCCGGGCUUAACCUGGGAAUGGCAUUUGGGACUGCAAGGCUUGAGUGCGGCAGAGGAGACUGGAAUUCCCGGUGUAGCAGUGAAAUGCGUAGAUAUCGGGAGGAAUACCGAUGGCGAAGGCAGGUCUCUGGGCUGACACUGACGCUCAUGCACGAAAGCGUGGGGAGCAAACAGGAUUAGAUACCCUGGUAGUCCACGCCCUAAACGAUGUCGACUGGUUGUUGGGGGUUUGACACUCUCAGUAACGAAGCUAACGCGUGAAGUCGACCGCCUGGGGAGUACGGCCGCAAGGUUA